RNAcentral lists this transfer RNA (72 nucleotides) under Salmo salar (Atlantic salmon). It matches the Rfam family "tRNA". Rfam says of the family: Transfer RNA (tRNA) molecules are approximately 80 nucleotides in length. Their secondary structure includes four short double-helical elements and three loops (D, anti-codon, and T loops). Lineage: Eukaryota; Metazoa; Chordata; Actinopteri; Salmoniformes; Salmonidae. The record is from Rfam by way of RNAcentral.
UCCCGUGUGGCUCAGUUGGUAGAGCAUGGUGUUUGCAAUGCCAGGGUUGUGGGUUCGUUUCCCAUAGGGGAC